Molecule: long non-coding RNA, 413 nt
Organism: Schistocerca gregaria
Lineage: Eukaryota; Metazoa; Arthropoda; Insecta; Orthoptera; Acrididae
Exons: 3
Source: RefSeq, a predicted model, not a curated record
CAGUUUCAAUCACUUUCAUCAAUAUGGUAUUGUUCAAAGGUAUUGUUCCUCCAAAAGGUUGUGAUGAGUUCAUGUACAGUGGACAGAAAGGCUUGCAGAGGCUCUUUGUUCUUGACCUACUGUGUGUGCCUUGGAUACUUCUUGCAAAACCCAAUGUUUCGAUAAUGACCGCAAAGCCCACCAACUGACAAUCUUCUGACUUUCCCCAACUUUCAAGCCAUCCCGUACCUGCAGAGAAUGGCAUGGAUGUGGAGGUGGGACAGCACACUAAGGACAGUAAAGAUAGGGCUCCCAUGCUGCAGAGCAGUGAAGACCACGACCUGGGAGAAAUCUUCAUCCAUCAGGGCAUCCACACGAUGGAGUACAUGCUAGGCUCUCACGCUGCCUUGUAUCUGUGACUUUGGGCACUGUCA